This 1606-nucleotide long non-coding RNA is filed under the name Pan troglodytes (chimpanzee). RNAcentral's name for it is "long non-coding RNA NONPTRT003442". Lineage: Eukaryota; Metazoa; Chordata; Mammalia; Primates; Hominidae. The record is from RNAcentral.
GAUUGUGCUGGUUGUUCCUUGCACAAGGGAAUCUGCCCAAAGGAACAAAUCCAUCCAAAAUGCGUGAUCUGAGCCUGGGCUGCACUGGCCUGAUAGGAGGGCAUCCCCAAUCUACCAAGAUUCGUAUGUGCUAGACUCAAGGUUAAAAGAUUACCUGGAGCAGGUCAGAACUUGGGUACCAGAGUCCCAGACAAAAGGAAGGCCUAGGCUGGGUGCGGUGGCUCACACCUGUAAUCCCAGCACUUUGAGAGGCUGAGAGCUAAGUGUUAUUAACAAAAAAGUCAAAAAUUUAAAAUCGUAUAAAAUAAAAAAAUUACAGUAAGCUAAGUUUAAUUUAUUAAUGAAGAGAGAAAAAUAUCUUUAAGUAAGUUUAGUGUAGCUUAAGUGUCCAGUGUUCAUAGAGUCUACAGUGAUGUACAGUAAUGUCCUAUGGCCUAAACACAGAUUUUAGAUGGAGAAAAGAGUUCAGUCAAAUAAGUAGAGGGACGAGGAGAAGAGAGUGUGUAGAUAUUGAAAAAGAAAAGCAGGAAAGAAGAAAAAUGAAUAUAUGCAGGACAGAGCUUAUUACCAAGGAAAUAAAACUGAAGAAUUAACGAUAUGAAUUCACAGAGCUAACACAAUGGUUGAGAAAUCUAGGUAUAGAAGAAAAGAUAGUGUUACCAAGGACAAAUAUGCAGAAAGCAGACAGAACUAUGAUUCAGCAGUACAGCUUCCUCCUAUUACCACUAACCAGACACUACCAUUUCUUCUUGCCUCGUGGUAAAGAAGCCAGCCAAAACCCAACAAAUCCAAGAUAGCAAUGAAAGUGACCUCUAGUCAUUCUCAUUGCUCAUUAUACACUAAUUAUAAUGGAUUAGCAUGCUAAAAGACACUCCUAACAGCACCAUGACAGUUUACAAAUGCCAUGGCAAUGCCAGGAAGUUGCCGCAUAUAAUCAAGAAAUAACAAUAAAAAUAGCCAAACAACAGCCAUUAGGGCUGCUCUGUCUAUGGAGUAACCACCCUUUUAUUUUUUUACUUUCUUGAUAAACUUGCUUUUACUCUACUCUGCGGACUCUGUGGACUCACCCCUAAUUUUUCUUUCGUGAGAUCUGAGAACCCUCUUUCCACUAACAUAAAGAUUGACAACCAGCUAUUCUUAACUUCUCCUUACAAUUAGAGUACUCAGUAAUCAUAUAAAUUGUAUGAACCCUUCCAUAGUUAAGUCAUAACCUUAUUAAUGCUUAUUGGCUUCACUGGGGAGAUUACCCUUUGUAAAGAUGCUCAAAAGCCAGAAAUAUCAGCUAUUUGCCUCAGCUAAAAUCUGGUAAUAAUGAGACAGCCAGGUGGGAAGGGCUCCCUGGCAAAACUCCAGCUGGUCUGCACACUAGGAGGAGUGCACUCUGGGGUGGAGCCACAGAAGUUCGUGCUAUUUGCAGUGGGGAGGAGCCUGGCCUCUCCUCUUCCUGGGUGGAACCUGGGAUUCAAUCUGCAAGGCAGAAAGCACACUCUCUCACUUCACCAAGAGUCUCUGUUUUUCCAUUUUCCCCCACUUUUCACCCAAUAAAAUCUUUACUUGUCAGGCCUCUGAGAUUUUGUGCUGCUCCAACGCUUCACUAUUUCGUUUU